RNAcentral lists this ribosomal RNA (387 nucleotides) under Triticum aestivum (bread wheat). RNAcentral describes it as "partial small subunit ribosomal RNA". The record is from RNAcentral. Lineage: Eukaryota; Viridiplantae; Streptophyta; Magnoliopsida; Poales; Poaceae.
AUGAUGCUCUGCAGGAGAGGUUGGGCAUGGUGCAAAGGAGCACAUGGAGGCUGCGGCGUAGCUGCAAAGCAAGAACCAUGGAGGCAGCGGCGUAGUUGCACAGCAGCAACCAUGGAGGCAGUGGCGACGGGGGUGGUGGCCGGCGUCUCCCUCUGUUCUUUUUGUAGCAAUCGACGUUGCUGCAUAGCGAGGGAUGCAGCAGACAGUGGUCUGUGUCGCACCUCACCGGCGCUGCGUUCGUCGAAUUGCAGCUUCGCCUGCUGCAAGGUCGUCGACACCGGUGCCGUGGUGGGGGCUUGGGUGCUGCUGUCGCACGGUUCGCAAAUAUCAUCGUCGCUGCAGACGGUUGUCCGGCGUUGCAUCUACUACGUGCGCUGGGACGAGUAG